GGCCCUACGGGGCGCAGCAGGCGCGAAAACUCCGCAAUGCCGGAAACGACCGACGGGGUCAUCCCGAGUGCCGUCCGCUGAGGGCGGCUUUUACCUGGUUUAACUAGCCGAGUGAAUAAGGGGAGGGCAAGUCUGGUGUCAGCCGCCGCGGUAAUACCAGCUCCUCGAGUGGUUGGGACGAUUAUUGGGUCUAAAGCGUCCGUAGCCGGCCGGAAAAGUCUUUCCGUUAAAUCCAACGAUCCAAUCGUUGGGCCGCGGGGAAUACUCUUCGGCUUGGGGGCGAGGGAGGUCGGCGGUAGUCUCGGGGUAGGGGCGAAAUCCUAUAAUCCCGAGAGGACCACCAGUGGCGAAGGCGGCCGACUAAAGCGCGCCCGACGGUGAGGGACGAAAGCUGGGGGAGCGAACGGGAUUAGAUACCCCGGUAGUCCCAGCUGUAAACGAUGCAGGCUAGGUGUUGGGACGGCCACGAGCUGUCCCAGUGCCGCAGGGAAGCCAUUAAGCCUG
RNAcentral lists this ribosomal RNA (504 nucleotides) under uncultured crenarchaeote. RNAcentral's name for it is "bacterial SSU rRNA". It matches the Rfam family "Archaeal small subunit ribosomal RNA", at positions 319 to 823 of the family's 1478-position model. The record is from RNAcentral. Lineage: Archaea; Thermoproteati; Thermoproteota.